GCUUCUCGUGACGCCACGGAGGCUUGCCCUUUCAAGCGAGUGGGAAGGGGGAGUAACACGUGGAUAACCUGCCUCAAGGCUGGGGAUAACAUUUGGAAACAGAUGCUAAUACCGAAUAAAACUUAGUAUCGCAUGAUAUCAAGUUAAAAGGCGCUACGGCGUCACCUAGAGAUGGAUCCGCGGUGCAUUAGUUAGUUGGUGGGGUAAAGGCUUACCAAGACAAUGAUGCAUAGCCGAGUUGAGAGACUGAUCGGCCACAUUGGGACUGAGACACGGCCCAAACUCCUACGGGAGGCUGCAGUAGGGAAUCUUCCACAAUGGGCGCAAGCCUGAUGGAGCAACGCCGCGUGUGUGAUGAAGGCUUUCGGGUCGUAAAGCACUGUUGUAUGGGAAGAAAUGCUAAAAUAGGGAAUGAUUUUAGUUUGACGGUACCAUACCAGAAAGGGACGGCUAAAUACGUGCCAGCAGCCGCGGUAAUACGUAUGUCCCGAGCGUUAUCCGGAUUUAUUGGGCGUAAAGCGAGCGCAGACGGUUGAUUAAGUCUGAUGUGAAAGCCCGGAGCUCAACUCCGGAAUGGCAUUGGAAACUGGUUAACUUGAGUGUUGUAGAGGUAAGUGGAACUCCAUGUGUAGCGGUGGAAUGCGUAGAUAUAUGGAAGAACACCAGUGGCGAAGGCGGCUUACUGGACAACAACUGACGUUGAGGCUCGAAAGUGUGGGUAGCAAACAGGAUUAGAUACCCUGGUAGUCCACACCGUAAACGAUGAAUACUAGGUGUUAGGAGGUUUCCGCCUCUUAGUGCCGAAGCUAACGCAUUUAAGUAUUCCGCUGGGAAGUACGACCGCAGUGAAACUCAAAUUAUUGACGGACCGCACAGCGUGGA
This 882-nucleotide ribosomal RNA is filed under the name Leuconostoc mesenteroides. Its description in RNAcentral is "bacterial SSU rRNA". It matches the Rfam family "Bacterial small subunit ribosomal RNA", at positions 57 to 935 of the family's 1533-position model. The record is from RNAcentral. Lineage: Bacteria; Bacillati; Bacillota; Bacilli; Lactobacillales; Lactobacillaceae.